GUCGCUGCCAAAUCAGCGACCGGGCGUGGAAACCCGGUGAGUAAACGGCGCAAAAGCGCCCUUCAUAACGUAUGCUGGCGCUUUUUUA
RNAcentral lists this small RNA (88 nucleotides) under Pseudomonas fluorescens HK44. RNAcentral describes it as "isrK Hfq binding RNA". It matches the Rfam family "isrK Hfq binding RNA". The record is from Rfam by way of RNAcentral. Lineage: Bacteria; Pseudomonadati; Pseudomonadota; Gammaproteobacteria; Pseudomonadales; Pseudomonadaceae.